Molecule: ribosomal RNA, 351 nt
Filed under: uncultured bacterium
Lineage: Bacteria
Description: bacterial SSU rRNA
Rfam family: Bacterial small subunit ribosomal RNA
Source: RNAcentral
GUGUAGUUAACACCUGCAUUAUUUGACGUUACCUACAGAAAGAAGCACCGCUAACUCCGUGCCAGCAGCCGCGGUAAUACGGAGGGUGCGAGCGUUAAUCGGAAUUACUGGGCGUAAAGCGCAUGCAGGCGGCCUGUUAAGUCAGAUGUGAAAGCCCGGGGCUUAACCUCGGAAUUGCAUUUGAAAACUGGCAGGCUAGAGUCUUGUAGGAGGGGGUAGAAUUUCAGGUGUAGCGGUGAAAUGCGUAGAGAUCUGAAGGAAUACCAGUGGCGAAGGCGGCCCCCUGGACAAAGACUGACGCUCAGAUGCGAAAGCGUGGGGAGCCAAACAGGAUUAGACUACCCCUGGUAA